AUUGAACGCUGGCGGCAGGCCUAACACAUGCAAGUCGAGCGAGCGGCGGACGGGUGAGUAAUGUCUGGGACACUGCCUGAUGGAGGGGGAUACCUACUGGAAACGGUAGCUAAUACCGCAUACCAUCAGAUGUGCCCAGAUGGGAUUAGCUAGUAGGGGGGGUAAUGGCUCACCUAGGCGACGAUCCCUAGCUGGUCUGAGAGGAUGAACAGCCAAACUGGAACUGAGACACGGUCCAGACUCCUACGGGAGGCAGCAGUGGGGAAUAUUGCACAAUGGGCGCAAGCCUGAUGAAGCCAUGCCGCGUGUGUGAAGAAGGCCUUCGGGUUGUAAAGCACUUUCAGCGAGGAGGCGUUACCCGCAGAAGAAGCACCGGCUAACUCCGUGCCAGCAGCCGCGGUAAUAC
This 406-nucleotide ribosomal RNA is filed under the name uncultured bacterium. RNAcentral describes it as "partial 16S ribosomal RNA". It matches the Rfam family "Bacterial small subunit ribosomal RNA", at positions 30 to 526 of the family's 1533-position model. The record is from RNAcentral.